This 492-nucleotide ribosomal RNA is filed under the name uncultured bacterium. RNAcentral describes it as "partial 16S ribosomal RNA". It matches the Rfam family "Bacterial small subunit ribosomal RNA", at positions 30 to 507 of the family's 1533-position model. The record is from RNAcentral.
AUUGAACGCUGGCGGCAUGCUUUACACAUGCAAGUCGAACGGUAACAGGCCUUCGGGUGCUGACGAGUGGCGAACGGGUGAGUAAUGCAUCGGAACGUGCCCAGAGGUGGGGGAUAACGCAGCGAAAGCUGUGCUAAUACCGCAUGUGAUCUGAGGAUGAAAGCGGGGGACCAGGCAGCAAUGUUUGGCCUCGCGCCUUUGGAGCGGCCGAUGUCAGAUUAGGUAGUUGGUGGGGUAAAGGCCUACCAAGCCGACGAUCUGUAGCUGGUCUGAGAGGACGACCAGCCACACUGGGACUGAGACACGGCCCAGACUCCUACGGGAGGCAGCAGUGGGGAAUUUUGAACAAUGGGCGCAAGCCUGAUCCAGCAAUGCCGCGUGCGGGAAGAAGGCCUUCGGGUUGUAAACCGCUUUUGUACGGAACGAAAAGGCUCUGGCUAAUACCUGGGGCUGAUGACGGUACCGUAAGAAUAAGCACCGGCUAACUACGUG